GUGCCAGCAGCCGCGGUAAUACGGAGAGGGCUAGCGUUAUUCGGAAUUAUUGGGCGUAAAGGGCGCGUAGGCUGGUUAAUAAGUUAAAAGUGAAAUCCCGAGGCUUAACCUUGGAAUUGCUUUUAAAACUAUUAAUCUAGAGAUUGAAAGAGGAUAGAGGAAUUCCUGAUGUAGAGGUAAAAUUCGUAAAUAUUAGGAGGAACACCAGUGGCGAAGGCGUCUAUCUGGUUCAAAUCUGACGCUGAAGCGCGAAGGCGUGGGGAGCAAACAGGAUUAGAUACCCUGGUAGUCCACGCUGUAAACGAUGAAUGUUAAAUAUGGGGAGUUUACUUUCUGUAUUACAGCUAACGCGUUAAACAUUCCGCCUGGGGACUACGGUCGCAAGAUUAAAACUCAAAGGAAUUGACGG
Molecule: ribosomal RNA, 409 nt
Filed under: Wolbachia endosymbiont of Bemisia tabaci
Lineage: Bacteria; Pseudomonadati; Pseudomonadota; Alphaproteobacteria; Rickettsiales; Anaplasmataceae
Description: bacterial SSU rRNA
Rfam family: Bacterial small subunit ribosomal RNA
Source: RNAcentral